CACAAUUCUUGGUACCUAACAC
RNAcentral lists this non-coding RNA (22 nucleotides) under Rattus norvegicus (Norway rat). The record is from RNAcentral. Lineage: Eukaryota; Metazoa; Chordata; Mammalia; Rodentia; Muridae.